UACGUAGGGGGCGAGCGUUGUUCGGAAUUACUGGGCGUAAAGGGCGCGUAGGCGGCCCCUUUUGUCGCGUGUGAAAGCCCCGGGCUCAACCUGGGAGGUGCGCGCGAAACGGGGGGGCUUGAGUUCGGGAGAGGAGCGUGGAAUUCCCAGUGUAGAGGUGAAAUUCGUAGAUAUUGGGAAGAACACCGAUGGCGAAGGCAGCCAUCUGGACCGACACUGACGCUGAGGCGCGAAAGCGUGGGGAGCAAACAGG
Molecule: ribosomal RNA, 253 nt
Filed under: uncultured bacterium
Lineage: Bacteria
Description: partial 16S ribosomal RNA
Rfam family: Bacterial small subunit ribosomal RNA
Source: RNAcentral